AGGGGUAUAGCUCAGUUGGUAGAGCAGCGGAUUCCAAAUCCGCAGGUCGCGGGUUCGAAUCCUGCUGCCCCUGCCA
Molecule: transfer RNA, 76 nt
Filed under: Jannaschia rubra
Lineage: Bacteria; Pseudomonadati; Pseudomonadota; Alphaproteobacteria; Rhodobacterales; Roseobacteraceae
Also listed under: 4 other names
Description: tRNA_Trp_CCA
Rfam family: tRNA
About the family: Transfer RNA (tRNA) molecules are approximately 80 nucleotides in length. Their secondary structure includes four short double-helical elements and three loops (D, anti-codon, and T loops). Further hydrogen bonds mediate the characteristic L-shaped molecular structure. tRNAs have two regions of fundamental functional importance: the anti-codon, which is responsible for specific mRNA codon recognition, and the 3' end, to which the tRNAs corresponding amino acid is attached (by aminoacyl-tRNA synthetases). tRNAs cope with the degeneracy of the genetic code in two manners: having more than one tRNA (with a specific anti-codon) for a particular amino acid; and 'wobble' base-pairing, i.e. permitting non-standard base-pairing at the 3rd anti-codon position.
Source: RNAcentral